GACGAACGCUGGCGGCGUGCUUAACACAUGCAAGUCGAACGGAAAGGCCCUGCUUUUGUGGGGUGCUCGAGUGGCGAACGGGUGAGUAACACGUGAGUAACCUGCCCUUGACUUUGGGAUAACUUCAGGAAACUGGGGCUAAUACCGGAUAGGAGCUCCUGCUGCAUGGUGGGGGUUGGAAAGUUUCGGCGGUUGGGGAUGGACUCGCGGCUUAUCAGCUUGUUGGUGGGGUAGUGGCUUACCAAGGCUUUGACGGGUAGCCGGCCUGAGAGGGUGACCGGCCACAUUGGGACUGAGAUACGGCCCAGACUCCUACGGGAGGCAGAAGUGGGGAAUAUUGCACAAUGGGCGGAAGCCUGAUGCAGCAACGCCGCGUGCGGGAUGACGGCUUUCGGGUUGUAAACCGCUUUCGCCUGUGACGAAGCGUGAGUGACGGUAAUGGGUAAAGAAGCACCGGCUAACUACGUG
RNAcentral lists this ribosomal RNA (468 nucleotides) under uncultured bacterium. RNAcentral's name for it is "partial 16S ribosomal RNA". It matches the Rfam family "Bacterial small subunit ribosomal RNA", at positions 28 to 507 of the family's 1533-position model. The record is from RNAcentral.